Molecule: ribosomal RNA, 407 nt
Filed under: uncultured bacterium
Lineage: Bacteria
Description: partial 16S ribosomal RNA
Rfam family: Bacterial small subunit ribosomal RNA
Source: RNAcentral
UGGGGAAUUUGGACAAUGGGCGAAAGCCUGAUCCAGCAAUGCCGCGUGUGUGAAGAAGGCCUUCGGGUUGUAAAGCACUUUUGUCCGGAAAGAAAUCCUUGGCUCUAAUACAGUCGGGGGAUGACGGUACCGGAAGAAUAAGCACCGGCUAACUACGUGCCAGCAGCCGCGGUAAUACGUAGGGUGCAAGCGUUAAUCGGAAUUACUGGGCGUAAAGCGUGCGCAGGCGGUUUGCUAAGACCGAUGUGAAAUCCCCGGGCUCAACCUGGGAACUGCAUUGGUGACUGGCAGGCUAGAGUCUCGUAGAGGGGGGUAGAAUUCCAGGUGUAGCGGUGAAAUGCGUAGAGAUCUGGAGGAAUACCGGUGGCGAAGGCGGCCCCCUGGACGAAGACUGACGCUCAGGUGCG